This 425-nucleotide unclassified non-coding RNA is filed under the name soil metagenome. RNAcentral's name for it is "partial contains 5.8S ribosomal RNA, internal transcribed spacer 2, and large subunit ribosomal RNA". The stretch from base 1 to 120 matches the Rfam family "5.8S ribosomal RNA", at positions 35 to 154 of the family's 154-position model. The record is from RNAcentral.
GAUGAAGAACGUAGCGAAAUGCGAUAAGUAGUGUGAAUUGCAGAAUUCCGUGAAUCAUCGAAUCUUUGAACGCACAUUGCGCCUUCUGGUAUUCCGGAAGGCAUGCCUGUUCGAGAGUCAUUAACAACCGUUUCGAUCCCUUUCUUUCAGAAAUUACAAAGAGGAAAAGGGUUUGGUUAUGGUGGAGGAGGGAAAGGGAGCGUUUAGCCUGUAAAAAAAGAGGCUGUGUUCCGCCUCCCCCCCAAAAUUGUACAGGCGGUCGUGUGCGCCCACGCAUCGAGGUGUUGUAAAAGCUGCCACGGCACUUUUCACCUGUGCAGUGCGAGAUUGGCCAGCCGGUUUAAAAACCCCUCCAAACAAUCAAAGGUUGACCUCGGAUCAGGUAGGGAUACCCGCUGAUCUUAAGCAUAUCAAUAAGCGGAGGA